Molecule: long non-coding RNA, 1428 nt
Organism: Cyprinus carpio carpio
Lineage: Eukaryota; Metazoa; Chordata; Actinopteri; Cypriniformes; Cyprinidae
Source: Ensembl
AUGUUCAAACAACACGUAAAAGUGAAUUUUGCAUCCGAUGACCCCUUAAAGUGUGUUAAGAAACACAGUCAUGAAAGUGAACUCUCUUUAAGCACACAUAAGUGGCAUUUUAUUUUAUUUCAUUUGUGUAGUAUGUAGUGAUCUGUGUUUUGGUUUGAUUUGGGAAUGAAUAUAAGUUACCAUAUUUGAUAGGAACAGGAAUAUUUCACCUUAAUAUGAACAUUGUGUGAAUCAUUUAGUCAACAGAAUAUUUUGUCUGCAUGAAAUGUCACAAAAGAUGUCUGUAAAGUGAAAUAAUCUAUCUCUGUUAUGGUAUUUGCGUGCUUGUACUGUUACAGAGAGAUCACAUGACCUCUAAAUAGAGAUUUAGAGCAGAGAAACUCAAGACUCAAGAGUAAUCAGUUCUCUCUGCACAUUACCAAACACACACACACACACACACACACACACACACACACACACACACACACACACACACACACACACACACACACACACACACCAUCAGUGCAGAUUCAGAGUGAGGAGCUGGAGAAGAAGGUAACAUCAAGCUCAUCAGCGUCUUUGUGGAGUGUAUUAAAAUUGAAAUGUGGAAAACAUCCAGCGUGAUGUGUAUGUGUUUUAAGGUUCUCUGGUAUUUCCCUGUCAGCAGAAACAAAACCUUCAGCUUUUAUGCAGUCUGAGAAAUUAAUGCGCUAAAAACAGCACGCCAACAAACUGCUGUUUACUCAGACGCUGAGUGGAUGAGAGAGACAGACAUGGAGUAGGAAAUCCCCGGGGGGCUCAUCCUUUAAAUGUAUUUAAAUGUAUUCUGGUAAUUACAAAUCCUUACACACACAUACAAGAGCACUCUGAUGCUGGGAGAGAGUGCAUGUUAUGAUGCUGCUUUGUUGUAAGGAGUAUGUGAGAUGGGAGAGUUAACUAAGGUAAACAUGUUUUAGCUGUUCCAGAAUGUUCUUCAGUAUUUUUAAACACUUAAAACAGAGAUACAGGGUGUGAUUUUACCAAAACAAGCAACUACAUUCUUAAUUAUACCCCAAACCCAAGCCUAGGUAGACCUCAAAUCAGUGCGACAUCAUAUUCUGCUAAAAUGAUAAAAUGCUUUGGUUCCUCCGAUUUCCAUACUUAAUGAACUCUUACAGAUGACUAUCAAGGUGCCAGUUUAUCAAUUUAUGAUUUGGUGAUACUGUACAUCCCAAUGCAGGCCUAAUGUUUCAUCAUUUAAUGACAGUAAAGUGACAGUAAAGACAUUUAUAAUAUCACAGAAUAUUUCUAUUUCAAAUAAAUGCUGUUCUUUUGAACUUUCUAUUCAUCAAAGAUUCUAAUAAAAUAGUAUCUAUUUUCCACACAAGUAUUAAACAACACAACUCUUUUCAACAUUGAUAAUAGUAAUUAGUUGAAUUGUAAUAAAUGUUUGCAAUUUUACUU